UCUAGCGUGAAGUCAGACAAGUGAACCCGCUGAAUUUAAGCAUAUCAAUA
Molecule: ribosomal RNA, 50 nt
Filed under: Symbiodinium sp. Pd8.12
Lineage: Eukaryota; Dinophyceae; Suessiales; Symbiodiniaceae
Description: partial 24S ribosomal RNA
Source: RNAcentral